GGAUGACAUGCACUCCUGUUACUGUACUGUAUAUAAGGAAAGCUCAACAUUCAUAGCAACUCAAAAACCUCCUCGACUCUCUGUGAGAUAAACUGCUGAAGGUGCAAAGAUUUGAAGUGUGAUCACUGUAACCAUGCUGAAGCUAGCUCUUGUGCUUGGAUGCCUCCUGAGCCUGGCUCUGGCUCGUCCUAAUGACAUGGAGCAUAAACGACUUGCUCGUUCAAGCUCAUCUGAGUCAAAUUCAGGAGAGAGCACCACCAGCGCAAUCACAACCCCCAAUAUUGCCUCACUCAUACAACUACUGCUGCGGCUACUUAGUGGGAACUGAAAUGUCACCUAUAUAUAAGUGAAUGAUACCCAGUAAUUAUUAGAUGUUUGAUCAGCUCUGUUUUUUUCAGUGUGUGAUGUUGUACUCAGAAUCAUCUCCUACAGUAAAUGAUACAGUCCUAAUCAUUCCAGGUCAAUCAAACAUGUGGGUCAUUUCACUUAUUUUCUGGAGUAACUACUCAAUAAACUUCAUGAAUUGAAAACAUG
Gymnodraco acuticeps is the source of this 534-nucleotide long non-coding RNA. RefSeq lists it as uncharacterized. The transcript has 4 exons. The record is from RefSeq and is a predicted model, not a curated record. NCBI's taxonomy places the organism in Eukaryota, Metazoa, Chordata, Actinopteri, Perciformes, Bathydraconidae.